GAUAUUUUGCUGACCCAGGUCCUGAGUGUUACUUGACUGUUUCUAACCAACCCCUACAAGGCUGCCUGAUGCAUUUUCUGGCCUUGAGGAUCAUCUGUCUAGCACUUGGAUUAAGAGGGCAACUUUAAGACCUGAUUUGCCCUGUCCUGGAGGUGGAGCUGUAGGCUGUAUUGCUAUCUCCAAGGGAAGCCUCCAGGAGCACCAACAGAUCUCUUACCUUCUUGCUUUCAUGCCUCAGAGGGAAGCUGGUGCGAAUUGGGCACUUGGACCAUCUCCUAGCAGUGGAUGCCCAAUAUAUUUUCCAGCUUCAAGGACCAUCCCUCUGCCAUUUUGGACCAUCAUGUUAAAUCUCAGACCUGCCCUGUCACCGAUGGAGCCAUUGCUACCUCAAAAGGAAGGGUUUUUUUUUUUUUAGUGUGUGUAUGAAUUAAAGGGAUUAUGCUUAAGUGAGUUGGGAGAGAGCUGUGAGCAAGAGGUGGCCACUGUGGAUACUGAAGCUGUUUCUGGAAAUGGGUG
Tachyglossus aculeatus (Australian echidna) is the source of this 516-nucleotide long non-coding RNA. RefSeq lists it as uncharacterized. The transcript is spliced from 4 exons. Lineage: Eukaryota; Metazoa; Chordata; Mammalia; Monotremata; Tachyglossidae. The record is from RefSeq and is a predicted model, not a curated record.